GACGAACGCUGGCGGCGUGCCUAACACAUGCAAGUCGAGCGGGGUUGAGGCGAGAGGUAACUCGAGCUUCUACCUAGCGGCGGACGGGUGAGUAACGCGUGGGCAACCUGCCUCAAGGUUUGGGAUAACAGCCCGAAAGGGCUGCUAAUACCGGAUAUGCCUACGGCCUCGCAUGGGGCUAUGAGCAAAGGGGAAACCCGCCUUGAGAUGGGCCCGCGUCCCAUCAGCUAGUGGUGAGGUAACAGCUCACCAAGGCGACGACGGGUAGCCGGCCUGACGAGGGUGACCGGCCACACUGGGACUGAGACACGGCCCAGACUCCUACGGGGGCAGCAGUGGGGGAUCUUGCACAAUGGGCGAAAGCCUGAUGCAGCGACGCCGCGUGAGCGAAGAAGGCCUUCGGGUUGUAAAGCUCUGUCUGGAGGGACGAACAAAAUGAGGUACCUCCGGAGGAGCCACGGCUAACUACGUGCCAGCAGCCGACGGUAAAUCACGUGUACU
Molecule: ribosomal RNA, 501 nt
Filed under: uncultured bacterium
Lineage: Bacteria
Description: bacterial SSU rRNA
Rfam family: Bacterial small subunit ribosomal RNA
Source: RNAcentral